GUGAAAUUGUUGAAAGGGAAACGCUUGAAGUCAGUCGCGUCUUCUGGAACUCAGCCUUGCUUCUGCUUGGUGCACUUUCCAGUUUGACGGGUCAGCAUCGGUUUUGGUGGGCAGACAAAGGCGCGAGGAAGGUGGCUGCUCCGGUGGUGUUAUAGCCUCGCGUUGUAUGUGUCCGCUGGGACCGAGGAAUCCGGCGCUUGCGCCUGGGAUGCUGGCGUAAUGGCUCUAAGCGACCCGUCUUGAAACACGGACCAAGGAGUGCUACAUGCUCGCGAGUGUUUGGGUGCAAAACCCGAGCGCGGAAUGAAAGUGAAAGUCGAGACCCUUCACGGGGGCACCGACGCCCGAGCCUGAUGUUUUCGGAAGGCCUUGCGGUGGAGCGAGUAUGUUGCGACCCGAAAGAUGGUGAACUAUUCCUGAGGAGGGCGAAGCCAGAGGAAACUCUGGUGGAGGCUCGUAGCGGUUCUGACGUGCAAAUCGAUCGCAGGACUUGGGUAUAGGGGCGAAAGACUAAUCGAACCAUUAAUCAAGUUGGCUUUUUUGCUACUCGGUGGUUAAGAGGCGGCUAAAAGUGACCGUCUAGUGAGCGUUGAGGCUUGCGACACUAUCAAAUUGCGGGGACGUCCUAAAGUUUUCGCGACCAAGCACCUGCGGAAACGUAGGUGUGGCCGAGUUAAUAGCCCUGGGUAUGGUAACACUGCGAAAGAUGCUACAAUGGAUAAUCCGCAGCCAAGCUCUAAGGGCGCCGAAAGG
Molecule: ribosomal RNA, 753 nt
Filed under: uncultured Basidiomycota
Lineage: Eukaryota; Fungi; Basidiomycota
Description: LSU rRNA
Rfam family: Eukaryotic large subunit ribosomal RNA
Source: RNAcentral